AUUGAACGCUGGCGGCAGGCCUAACACAUGCAAGUCGAACGAGCGGCGGACGGGUGAGUAAUGUAUGGGAAACUGCCUGAUGGAGGGGGAUAACUACUGGAAACGGUGGCUAAUACCGCAUACUAUCGGAUGAACCCAUAGGGGAUUAGCUAGUAGGUGGGGUAAAGGCUCACCUAGGCGACGAUCCCUAGCUGGUCUGAGAGGAUGAUCAUCCACAUUGGGACUGAGACACGGCCCAGACGCCUACGGGAGGCAGCAGUGGGGAAUAUUGCACAAUGGGCGCAAGCCUGAUGCAGCCAUGCCGCGUGUAUGAAGAAGGCCUUCGGGUUGUAAAGUACUUUCAGUGGGGAGGCGUUACCCGCAGAAGAAGCACCGGCUAACUCCGUGCCAGCAGCCGCGGUAAUUC
RNAcentral lists this ribosomal RNA (406 nucleotides) under uncultured bacterium. RNAcentral's name for it is "partial 16S ribosomal RNA". It matches the Rfam family "Bacterial small subunit ribosomal RNA", at positions 30 to 526 of the family's 1533-position model. The record is from RNAcentral.